GAAGUCUCAGGAUGUAAUGCUGAUCCUGGCACAAAUGAAGGCAGGAAUGAUUAAGAUAUGGUUGACCUCAGAAUAGGAAUUCAGAAAUCUCUCUGCCUGCCUCUUUGCCACUAAGAAAACAGACACUGGUUCCCCAAACCCCUGAUUAAGAAAGAAGCUGGAAGAACAUGCAGAAGCUUUUGAGACUUCAUUCCCUUCUCAAUAAAUGGCACCACCAUGUACUCAACCACUCCAGGCCAGAAACCUUACA
This is a long non-coding RNA of Balaenoptera ricei (Rice's whale), 250 nucleotides long. RefSeq lists it as uncharacterized. The transcript has 3 exons. The record is from RefSeq and is a predicted model, not a curated record. NCBI's taxonomy places the organism in Eukaryota, Metazoa, Chordata, Mammalia, Artiodactyla, Balaenopteridae.